This 497-nucleotide ribosomal RNA is filed under the name uncultured bacterium. Its description in RNAcentral is "partial 16S ribosomal RNA". It matches the Rfam family "Bacterial small subunit ribosomal RNA", at positions 28 to 507 of the family's 1533-position model. The record is from RNAcentral.
GAUGAACGCUGGCGGCGUGCCUAAUACAUGCAAGUCGAGCGAACGGACGAGAAGCUUGCCUCUCUGAUGUUAGCGGCGGACGGGUGAGUAACACGUGGAUAACCUACCUAUAAGACUGGGAUAACUUCGGGAAACCGUAGCUAAUACCGGAUAAUAUUUUGAACCGCAUGGUUCAAAAGUGAAAGACGGUCUUGCUGUCACUUAUAGAUGGAUCCGCGCUGCAUUAGCUAGUUGGUAAGGUAACGGCUUACCAAGGCAACGAUGCAUAGCCGACCUGAGAGGGUGAUCGGCCGCACUGGAGCUGGGACACGGUCCAGACUCCUACGGGAGGCAGCAGUAGGGAAUCGUCCGCAAAGGGCGAAAGCCUGACGGAGCAGCGCCGCGUGAGUGAUGAAGGUCUUCGGAUCGUAAAGCUCUGUUAUUAGGGAAGAACAUAUGUGUAAGUAACUGUGCACAUCUUGACGGUACCUAAUCAGAAAGCCACGGCUAACUACGUG